AGAGUUUGAUCCUGGCUCAGAGCGAACGCUGCGGCAUGCUUAACACAUGCAAGUCGCACGGGCUGCUUUCGGGUAGUCAGUGGCGGACGGGUGAGUAACGCGUAGGAACAUGUCCAGGGGUGGGGGAUAACGCUGGGAAACUGGCGCUAAUACCGCAUGUGAGCUGAGGCUCAAAGCCGCGAGGCGCCUUUGGAGUGGCCUGCGUCCGAUUAGCUUGUUGGUGGGGUAAUGGCUUACCAAGGCGUCGAUCGGUAGCUGGUCUGAGAGGACGACCAGCCACACUGGGACUGAGACACGGCCCAGACUCCUACGGGAGGCAGCAGUGGGGAAUAUUGGACAAUGGGCGCAAGCCUGAUCCAGCAAUGCCGCGUGGGUGAAGAAGGUCUUCGGAUCGUAAAGCCCUUUCGACGGGGACGAUGAUGACGGUACCCGUAGAAGAAGCCCCGGCUAACUUCGUGCCAGCAGCCGCGGUAAUACGAAGGGGGCUAGCGUUGCUCGGAAUUACUGGGCGUAAAGGGCGCGUAGGCGGUCAUUUUAGUCAGGCGUGAAAUUCCCGGGCUUAACCUGGGGACUGCGCUUGAUACUGGGUGACUUGAGGGUGGAAGAGGGUCGUGGAAUUCCCAGUGUAGAGGUGAAAUUCGUAGAUAUUGGGAAGAACACCGGUGGCGAAGGCGGCGACCUGGUCCAUUACUGNNGCUGAGGCGCGACAGCGUGGGGAGCAAACAGGAUUAGAUACCCUAGUAGUCC
This 747-nucleotide ribosomal RNA is filed under the name uncultured bacterium. Its description in RNAcentral is "bacterial SSU rRNA". It matches the Rfam family "Bacterial small subunit ribosomal RNA", at positions 8 to 796 of the family's 1533-position model. The record is from RNAcentral.